GUGAACGCUGGCGGUAGGCCUAACCCAUGCACGUCGAACGGCAGCACAGUAAGAGCUUGCUCUUACGGGUGGCGAGUGGCGGACGGGUGAGGAAUACAUCGGAAUCUACUUUUUCGUGGGGGAUAACGUAGGGAAACUUACGCUAAUACCGCAUACGACCUACGGGUGAAAGCAGGGGAUCUUCGGACCUUGCGCGAUUGAAUGAGCCGAUGUCGGAUUAGCUAGUUGGCGGGGUAAAGGCCCACCAAGGCGACGAUCCGUAGCUGGUCUGAGAGGAUGAUCAGCCACACUGGAACUGAGACACGGUCCAGACUCCUACGGGAGGCAGCAGUGGGGAAUAUUGGACAAUGGGCGCAAGCCUGAUCCAGCCAUACCGCGUGGGUGAAGAAGGCCUUCGGGUUGUAAAGCCCUUUUGUUGGGAAAGAAAAGCAGCAGGUUAAUACCCCGCUGUUCUGACGGUACCCAAAGAAUAAGCACCGGCUAACUUCGUG
Molecule: ribosomal RNA, 491 nt
Filed under: uncultured bacterium
Lineage: Bacteria
Description: partial 16S ribosomal RNA
Rfam family: Bacterial small subunit ribosomal RNA
Source: RNAcentral